RNAcentral lists this ribosomal RNA (429 nucleotides) under uncultured soil bacterium. RNAcentral's name for it is "bacterial SSU rRNA". It matches the Rfam family "Bacterial small subunit ribosomal RNA", at positions 26 to 427 of the family's 1533-position model. The record is from RNAcentral.
AGAAUCAACGCUGGCGGCGUGCCUCAGACAUGCAAGUCGAACGCGAAAGUUCCCUUCGGGGGGCAAGUAGAGUGGCGCACGGGUGAGUAACACGUAGGUAAUCUACCUUUGGAUGGGGAAUAACAACCGGAAACGGUUGCUAAUACCGCAUAAUGCAGCGGCACCUAAUGGUGACAGUUGUUAAAGCGGGGGAUCGAAAGACCUCGCGUCUGAAGAGGAGCCUGCGGCGGAUUAGCUAGUUGGUAGGUAACGGCCUACCAAGGCUACGAUCCGUAGCCGGCCUGAGAGGGCGGUCGGCCACGACUGACACUGACAUACGGGUCAGACUCCGUACGGGAGGCAGCGAGUCGGGAAUUUUGGGACAAGUGGGACGAAAGCCGUAGACCCAGACCGAACGCCGACGAGAAGGAGAGAAAGUCCCGUACGGUA